CUCUGCAUCCUUGUGUAAGUUCUGCAGGUCUUUCAGGUUCUGCUCGUUGGCCUGAGAGAUAGUGAUGUUCUCCAUCAGAUCUGUAAAUGAGUUGAGCUGGCUGUUCAUAUCCUCCAGGGUGUUGUUGUUGGCUUUGGCCAAAGCAGAAUUAUUGGUAGCCAGCAUCUGCAAGCUUUGCACUUCCUCCUUCAGUCAAUCUGUGUCCUUCUUGGCUUGAAGAAAAACCUGCUGCAGAUUUUGAAAGUCAUUCUUGAUUUGCUGGAUAGCCUGGCUUGUGUCAUCCACAGACCGCUGCAGAUUCAUGAUGAGGUUCCUCUGCUGUACCUGGGUCAGGUUCAGGUUGUUGAGGUUCAUGAUGACCACGUUAUGAGAAUACAUUUGGUUCUGCAGAUUACCCUGGAGCACACUGGUAUCUUGCUGCAGAUUCGUGACAUAGCCAUUGUACGCCUGGAGGGUUUUGUUUACAGUGGUGAUGAGGGAAGUUAUUCUCCAAAGUUUCUUUUAGUUGACUCCCUGUCCACCAGUGCAUCCCUGGUAGCCUGUAACUUCUCCAGCAUAUCCUUGUUCUUGCUAGUUUUUUUUCCUGUAAUCUCACGAAGUUGCUGACGAAUAUCUAGAAUGUCUGAUCUGAAGGUAGAGAGUUCUGAGUUGGUGUUAAUAGCUUUCUUCCCAGUUUAGUCACCUAAUUUUUUCAGGUCACUUUCCACUGCUAUGAGCUUGUCAUCAUAGGUUUGGCGAGAUGUCUCCAUGCCACCUGUGACAUUAUCCAUUUUCUCUACAACUUUAUAUCCCAAAAUGGCUACUGUGAUUGUUAGCAAGGCACACAAAAUGUGUAAUAAUAUGAUAGAAAACUUCAGUGCCAGUUAUUUUUACGUUUGGUACAUUGUGUUCCUUCCUGAAUACCAAACCACUUGUAACCGAAGGACUGCACCUCCUCCUCCUCUGCGAAGUCGCCUUUCAUGGUGACGGAGGGGACGCACCUCCAGCCAGAGAGCUCCGCGCGAGCGCCACGCCGCUGCCGAGAAAGUUGUCCUGAGAGGCCACUCAUUGCAUGCCCAUGGCAGCUGCACCGCCAGCCGGUUGUCUGCGCCCAGGCCCUCCCUCGCCGUCGCCAGCCCGCGCUCCCAGCCAGCGUGUAAGUAUUUUUAAUACUAAUUAAUGAUAGAAAACCUGAAGACCUUGACAGCAUCUGAGAUUUUGUGAUUUUUAAUGAUUUAGAAAAAACAGAAACAAUCCUAAUAAUUGUCUUCCUCUUCCCAUCCCCUUUCUGGACAUGGUGGAGUGCUUUAACACACAGGACUGGAAGAAGAGAGAAAGAGCCAUCAGGAGGAGGAGGAAGAGAUGUAGACAGCAAAGGAGGAGAAACGGAAGCAGGAGUGCGGAAAGGGAGCAGGGAAAGAGGAAGAAGAAAGAGGAGGAGGAGAAGAAGAAUCAAAAAGUAGAACAGAUCCAAUUGAGAACUAAAAAUCACACUCGGUCUGGGAGGGGCGGGGGAGAGGAGUAGGUGGCCAGAGGCUGUGUACCCUGACCCUUGGACUGCCUGAGACCCCGGCAUCCCCAAGGCACCUCCAAAGAUGAUGGGGUGUGGGGACUCAGAGUUGGAGUCGGUGGACGGGGAAGAAGCCGCGGCGGUCCCGGGGCCACCCCCGGAGCCCCGAGUCCCGGAACCUCGACCCCCGGUGCCCGAGCCCGGCCUGGACUUGAGCCUGAGUCCGCGCUCUGGCAUCCCUGAGCCGCGGCACGGCAGCCCUGGGCUGCGGAAGAGGCGGGCGGAGCGGCGGGGCGCCGGUCGGCAGCGGCGGCAGGUCGGUUUCCGCCGGGCACCACCUUCCCCGGUGCGGUCCGAGCCACAGCCCGCGGCGCCGCAGGAGCUAGAGAUGGCCGCGCUGCAGAGCAGCCUGGCCUUGGGUCUGAGAGCCGCAGCCGUGCGGCGAAAGCCGUGGAGGAACAGCUGAAAAAGUCGUUCCAGAUCCGCUGCGGCCUGGAGGAGAGCGUGUCCGAGGGGCCGAACAUGCCGCGCUCCAAGAGGCUCUUCCGAGACCUGGUGAGCCUGCAGGUGCUGGAGGAACCGGUUCUGAAUGCCUCGCUCGGGGAGAAAUUGGCUCUCCUGCCGCCGCAGUCUCAACCCCGCCCCAAAGGAGCCACCUCGGCCAGGGCCAGACAUGACCAUCUUGUGUGACCCAGAAACACUAUUUUAUGAAUCUCCACACCUGACCCUGGACGAUCUGACCCCUCUCCGGCUUCAGCUCCGGCCCCGCCCUUCAGAGGACACCUUCCUCAUGCACGGGACACUGAGGCGUUGGGAAGCGUAGACCCCAACCAUCCUUGGAGGGCUAGUUCGUAUUUUUGUGUUAAACUAUUUGUCAGAAUAAAGUAAUUUUGCUAAUAAAAAAAAAUCACACUCAACUGUUCUGAUGAAAACGGAACACUUCUGUAAAUUCAAAUGAAGCAGCCACCACUGAGGCACAGAUAAAUGUGCGGUUUUUUUUACCAUGUGUAGAAAUGCAUGAGGCAUGGCAGUUAUCGCCUUCCAGAAAGAGAGCUUAUUUAGAAAAGUAAACAUUCUAGAUAACAAUGAACAGGAGUUAGCCUGAGAUAGGAUAACUUAAAAUGCAAUAUUCAGUGCUUUGUCAGAGGAAGAGAUGAGAUGCAAUGAGAUGCAAUCACGCAGUAAAGGAAGAUAACAAGAAAACCUUGCACUGCAGGAAGUUUCAUUCAUCUACCUGCGUUCUUCCU
Non-coding RNA from Callithrix jacchus (white-tufted-ear marmoset), 2736 nucleotides. The record is from RefSeq and is a predicted model, not a curated record. Lineage: Eukaryota; Metazoa; Chordata; Mammalia; Primates; Cebidae.